CUGGUUCCAUGAUGAAUAAAACAAAAUCACCAUCUUUCGGCUGACAGUUGUGAUGAUUUGUUUUUUUUUCCUGAGUAGAUG
Molecule: small nucleolar RNA, 81 nt
Organism: Cairina moschata (Muscovy duck)
Lineage: Eukaryota; Metazoa; Chordata; Aves; Anseriformes; Anatidae
Source: Ensembl